UGAAAUAGAGCACUAAAGUAAAUAAAAGCAGAGAUUAAACCUCGUACCUUUUGCAUCAUGAUCUAGCCAGUAAUGCCAAGCAAAGAGCCCUCUAGUUUGAAACCCCGAAACCCGACGAGCUACUCCGGGACAGCCUAUUGUGGGGCCAACCCGUCUCUGUGGCAAAAGAGUGGGAAGAUCCCCGAGUAGAGGUGAAAGACCUACCGAGUCAGGUUAUAGCUGGUUGCCCAGGAAAUGAAUAGAAGUUCAGCCCCGUUUUACCCUUGCCCACCGCAGUCUUACUAAAAUUAGGUAUAAAGGAUAUAAACAGGAGUUAGUUAAAGGAGGUACAGCUCCCUUAACAAAGGAUACAACCUUCACAGGAGGCUAAGGAAUACACUUAACAAGGCCAUAGGUUUCAGUGGGCCUAAAAGCAGCCAUCUGAAUAGAAAGCGUUAAAGCUCAGACCAAAUUAAGCCUAUUAUAACAUUAAAUGCCCUCAAUGCCCCUAACAAUACUGGGCCCCCCUAUGCCCCCAUAGGAGAGACUAUGCUAGAACGAGUAAUAAGAAGAACGAACUUCUCCCCGCACAUGUGUAAGUCGAAUCGGACCCGCCAUCGACAAUUAACGAACCCAACAAAAGAGGACCAUGCAUCACCGCCACACCCGGCCAAGAAAAACACGCAAACCACCCAUCGUUAACCCCACACAGGAGUGCUUAAACAAAGGGAAAGACUUAAUGAAUAAAAAGGAACUCGGCAAACCUAAACCUCGCCUGUUUACCAAAAACAUCGCCUCCUGCCCAUAUAAAAAUAUAGGAGGUCCCGCCUGCCCUGUGACCAAAAGUUUAACGGCCGCGGUAUUUUAACCGUGCAAAGGUAGCGCAAUCAAUUGUCUUUUAAAUGGAGACCUGUAUGAAUGGCAUAACGAGGGUUUAACUGUCUCUUUUUUCUGGUCAAUGAAACUGAUCUACCCGUGCAGAAGCGGGUAUACCCACACAAGACGAGAAGACCCUAUGGAGCUUUAGACGCCCACCAACCAUGAAGAGCAGCCUGCCUAACAGGCCCCCAAACUACAUGGCCCUGGUAUAAACGUCUUCGGUUGGGGCGACCACGGGGGAAAGCAAAGCCCCCGAGAGGAUUGGGGGAAACCCUAAAACCAAGAGCCACAGCUCUAAGUCACAAAAUAUUUGACCGACAAUGAUCCGGCUUUUGCCGAUCAACGGACCAAGUUACCCUAGGGAUAACAGCGCAAUCCCCUCCCAGAGUCCAUAUCGACGAGGGGGUUUACGACCUCGAUGUUGGAUCAGGACAUCCUAAUGGUGCAGCCGCUAUUAA
RNAcentral lists this ribosomal RNA (1316 nucleotides) under Dorosoma cepedianum (American gizzard shad). RNAcentral's name for it is "partial 16S ribosomal RNA". It matches the Rfam family "Bacterial large subunit ribosomal RNA", at positions 539 to 2568 of the family's 2925-position model. Lineage: Eukaryota; Metazoa; Chordata; Actinopteri; Clupeiformes; Clupeidae. The record is from RNAcentral.